RNAcentral lists this long non-coding RNA (1436 nucleotides) under Anas platyrhynchos platyrhynchos (common mallard). RNAcentral's name for it is "lncRNA (ENSAPLG00000023209.1)". Lineage: Eukaryota; Metazoa; Chordata; Aves; Anseriformes; Anatidae. The record is from RNAcentral.
AAAUCCUGUUAGAGGACUGAAUUACAGCUAUGAUACCAUUUUCUCUGUAAUUCCUUUGGGAUGCAUAUUUUGCCCAUGUACACAUUCCUCCCCUGAAUUAGACCAAACUAUUUUGUAAUUGUUCUAAUUUGCUUUGAACUUUGCUUUCUGACAGAAUUUUAAGACCUUUUUUCUUUUUUUUUCCUUUUUAUAGUCUUCCUUCAGAAUGGAUGUGCAGUCAUAAACUUUGAUCCUGCUGCAACAGUGUUUCACUUUUUCUUCCUUCAGAUUAAUAAAAUCAGGGAAAGAACACAAGUUUCAGGUCCUUUCUUCCAGUGAAUCCAAUCCCACCAGUGUCAUAUGACUUAAGUCAGUGUACUCUUCAUGCCAUGAUUGAACUCUCCCUGGCAGGGUCCACCCUUUACUAAAGAUGGACAGGUACUUUUAAGAGAAGAAGAAACAAGCCUUCAUUGCAGAGACAUGUACUGUGGAUUUUGGUAGUGUUAUGAUCUAUCAGUUCCCCAAAUGGGACAUACCUCUUACAUCAUUUAACACUGGAAAUGCUAUGGUUUUAUUGAGAGUGAGAAAGGGAAAAUCCCAGCUUCGAAAGUCAUCAUUACUCAAACAUAUCGCUUGGGCACAUUAAAAAAAUAACUCGUUCAGUUCAAACUUUAAACCAAAAAGAAAUGGGAAAAGAAAGGGAAUUCCCUAAGAAGACAGAAAAGGAGAACCUGACAUUUACUCAGGAUUCUACAACAGAGUGAAGACCAAAACAAAGAAGGCAAAAAUCUACACUGAAAUAGACAGAUUUUGUGUUAUUUUACAGUCACUCAGAGGCCCUCAGAUCACAAUACUUUAAAACAGUAACUACCAAGUUUCAUGUUGCCUGGGAAAUAUCACUGUAAUGUAUUAAAGAGCUUUACAGAGGAAAGGAAGCAGGAGUCUCCAAUGGGCUUCAGCUCUGCCCCACUGAUCACCCCCACAGAACUUCCUCUGACAAGGCCAGGACAAGGAAAGAGAAAAGCUAAAGUCUAAUUUGAGAGAGUGGUCUUUGGAAAGGUAAUCUCCUUGCUGGAGUUCAAAGUACCCUCAGAGAGACUUAGCUGCCGUUCCCACUGGUGUUGCCAGUGGACAAGAUCUGGAUAAACACUGGAGCUGUUCUUCCUGCACACAUUCAGGACAGAGUCAUCCCCCCAGCACUGACGUCAACAGACUGUCCCAGGCACCUGGCACAUCCUGGGAUCAUGCUCCAGCCGGCUGUUAACCCAGCAGAUAUGUUAAAUGGAGUGAACUUGGCAGUUUAAGGUCAGUCCCAGAGAUAACAUUAUCAGAAGAGCCAUUUGUUUCCAGUGGGAGCAAACACAGGCAUCUAUCAGGCUCCUUCUUUCCACACCUCUUGCCAGAAACUGAUAGAAGACAAAAAUAAAUAAAAAGAAAGAAAGAAAAAAAUAUAUACC